AUUUGCGCAUCCGCGUUUUCUACUACAUCAUUACAUGCGCGGAUGGGUCGUGCAGGCAUUCCGGAUCAUGUACCGAGUUUAAGUACUAUCUAGAACUAAACUUCAAGCUUUCCUGUAGCUCAGUGCUUAUGGCUAUGAGAGCGAGUGCAGCAGAGCACACCAGUCGAUGAGUCGCGGAGCACUGUUGGAGUAGCAGCGUGUGAGACAGGUCGAUGACCGGCUGCGAGGGACUAUCGUGAGCGAAAGACUACCGUGAGGGCUGAGGAGACGAGUGAAAACUGACGUGGUUCUUCUGCCGUGAAUACAUUGGACUGGAUAGCAGCCCUUGCUGUCCAGGCAUGCUGUCAUUUAGGUGAAUUCUCUGGUGUGUUGCUGCCAGCCUUUUCUCCUGACACCUUUCACAGACCCCCAGGAAGCACAGCAGGCCUACAACCAUGCCCAUGCCAGGACCAGGGCCAGAGUUGAAAUGACCUUUGGCCUCCUGAAGGCACGCUCUCACUGCCUUCACAAAUCAAGGGUCAGCCCUGUUAGGGCAUGUGAUAUUACUGUGGCUUGUGCGGUCCUCCCCAAUGUGGCCUGCCUGAGGAAGGAGAGGGCCCCCAGAGUGCCACCAGCCAUGGAAUGGGACAAUCCGGCAAUCUUCCCUGAUGACGACAGUGGUCGGCUGCUGAGGGACCAAUAUGUGUUGAAUUAUUUUAGUUAGUAUGUGUGCUUUCAAUUUUGGUUAAAUAUGUCCUGCGGUGGCAGAGGAAUUUGGGUUUUCUUGGGUUCGUUUUUUUAAGAAUUUGGCCUCUUAUGAUGUGUGUGCGGUAUACUGUGUGUAAUACAAGGCUGCAGGGAGGCUACUGCAUCCAUUCAUUUGUCUGUUCAGUUGAUGUGUAUGGAUUUGUCCUGCAUUUAUUUUAGUGUGCAGACAUGCAGGGUGUGUUAUAUACAGACCUUUGAAUGUAUAUGUAUCAUUUUGUAUAAUAUGCUUUGAUUCUGUGCUUUCCAUCUUGUAGAGUCACUGUGACUUCAGUUUCAAAAGGAGCUGAUGGUUUACCUGCUUUGUUUUGUCCUUAUUCAAUAAAGGAACAUAAUGUUACACAUUGUGUUUUUAUGUUUAUAUGGAAUGUGUAUUUGUUUAUAUGACAGAGUACUAGGGCCACACUGAGGAAAAAGGAUAAAGUCAUAAAUUUAUGAGGCUGGUUCUUUCUGCAGAAAAGCUACAUAUUCUUUUUACAGUUU
This is a long non-coding RNA of Triplophysa dalaica, 1227 nucleotides long. RefSeq lists it as uncharacterized. The transcript has 3 exons. The record is from RefSeq and is a predicted model, not a curated record. Lineage: Eukaryota; Metazoa; Chordata; Actinopteri; Cypriniformes; Nemacheilidae.